Tachysurus fulvidraco (yellow catfish) is the source of this 1660-nucleotide long non-coding RNA. RefSeq lists it as uncharacterized. The transcript is spliced from 3 exons. Lineage: Eukaryota; Metazoa; Chordata; Actinopteri; Siluriformes; Bagridae. The record is from RefSeq and is a predicted model, not a curated record.
AGUGUGUGUGUGAGUGUGUGUGUGUGUGUGUGUGUGUGUGUGUGUGUGUGUGUGUGUGUGUGUGUGUGAGUGUGUGUGUGUGUUUUGCGGACUCUAUACAGAGAUGAUGAGAUGAGUGACACAGACACAUAAAGACAGAGGGAUGUAAGAGGAUUUGACGGCUGUCGCUCAAGGAAAGAAAGUGGCAAUGUCGCUAAAUAUAAAAAAUCCAAGCAGCUUCUGAUACAAUAGAAUUCGGAACAAUCUGGUUAUAGAAGAAUUUAGGGUAGGAGUCGUGUUCUGAUUGGUUACAACAGAAAUCUGGACAGGAUCCGUGUUCUGAUUGGUUACAACAGAAAUCUGGACAGGAUCCGUGUUCUGAUUGGUUACAACAGAAAUCUGGACAGGAUCCGUGUUCUGAUUGGUUACAACAGAAAUCUGGACGGGAUCCGUGUUCUGAUUGGUUACAACAGAAAUCUGGACGGGAUCCGUGUUCUGAUUGGUUCCAGUAGAACUUCAGGAGAUCGUGACUCUAUCCUAUCUCCAUGAGCAUUGACACUUUCUCUGCUUUUCCGUUCUGGAUCACACCUUUAUUUAUGGACUUUACACACAUCACCAUCAGACCUCCAGACCAUCAACGUUCAGCCAUCAGCCAUUUCCAGGCUCUGUUGAGUCAGUGUGAGCCUGAGGCCAUCAUCUCCAGAUUUGUUUAAGCGUCAAUAAUUAGCGUAGCAUGGCUUCCCCAAUGAGCAGCGCUUUACACCUGUCACAUGGCAUCAGUGUGACGUGGCCUCCAGCCAACAGCAGCCCAAUGAGUCCAUGCUUUGGGAAUCUGUCUAUGUGUGUGUGUGUGUGUGUGUGUGUGUGUGUGUGUGUGUGUGUGUGUGUGUGUGUUCAUUUAAAGCCUCACAUCUCACACUCUUUCAUCCCAAAUCUGUUCGCUCAGUCUAGUGGCUACGAUUUGACUCGCCACACGUCGGUCCGAUCGGAUCAAAACGAACCCAUCGCUCUCACAGCUGAUCUCUCACGCUAAUCACUUCAUUUUCACAUCACGGAUCCAAAAACCAAACGUCUGCCCAGAACUGUUUACCUUCCCUUAGUUACUGAUCCAACACUUUCCUCACAUACACACUGAUAUUUAAGGAUGAAAAGUCAAACCUUGUCUGCAGAAUAUUACAGGUUCUCCAAGGGUUCGGUGACGAGUUCAAGGUUCUUCAGUAUCGUAUCUAAAGGAGUCUUCCAGAAAUGUGCUUCACCUUUAUGUGUCCGAGACGUCUUCACACAUGGACAAAAUCGUGUUGGAAUCUUUAGAUCUUUUAUUCGACUGAUUAGAUUCCAAAACAUUAGUGAACAGAUGAUGCUAAAUUGCCCCUAAUUGUGAAGAUGUGUGUGUUUCCAUCCAUACAGUAUUCCUGCCUCACACAAAACUCCAGAUCCACUAGAAUGAACGAAUGAAUGUAUUUUAUAUUCUUCUUAUUUAUUUCCAGAGGGCAGUUAUAGAUUGUCUCUAUAGAUGUUACACCUGGAGCCAGAUCUCAUAAGGAAACUCUCUGCUGCAGGGUUCGACUUUGAACUUUUAACCCUUUCUAUCAAUCCCCAGGUGAUCCACUGAGGCUGUGGGAUGGAAACCGACUUAUCUGGCAAUCUUGAUCAAGAAUAAACAAAUAUCGGGUUAUCGGUC